RNAcentral lists this ribosomal RNA (542 nucleotides) under uncultured archaeon. Its description in RNAcentral is "bacterial SSU rRNA". It matches the Rfam family "Bacterial small subunit ribosomal RNA", at positions 509 to 1050 of the family's 1533-position model. The record is from RNAcentral.
CAGCCGCCGCGGUAAUACGUAGGUGGCGAGCGUUGUCCGGAAUUACUGGGUGUAAAGGGCGUGUAGGCGGGAAUGCAAGUCAGAUGUGAAAUACCGAGGCUUAACUUCGGGGCUGCAUCUGAAACUGUGUUUCUUGAGUGUCGGAGAGGAAAGUGGAAUUCCUAGUGUAGCGGUGAAAUGCGUAGAUAUUAGGAGGAACACCAGUGGCGAAGGCGACUUUCUGGACGAUAACUGACGCUGAGGCGCGAAAGCGUGGGGAGCAAACAGGAUUAGAUACCCUGGUAGUCCACGCCGUAAACGAUGGAUACUAGGUGUAGGAGGUAUCGACCCCUCCUGUGCCGGCGUUAACACAAUAAGUAUCCCACCUGGGGAGUACGACCGCAAGGUUGAAACUCAAAGGAAUUGACGGGGGCCCGCACAAGCAGUGGAGUAUGUGGUUUAAUUCGAAGCAACGCGAAGAACCUUACCAGGGCUUGACAUACAGUGGAAUAUGCUAGAGAUAGUAUAGCUCUUCGGAGCCGCUGUACAGGAGGUGCAUGGCC